This 903-nucleotide ribosomal RNA is filed under the name uncultured Chloroflexota bacterium. RNAcentral's name for it is "bacterial SSU rRNA". It matches the Rfam family "Bacterial small subunit ribosomal RNA", at positions 8 to 916 of the family's 1533-position model. Lineage: Bacteria; Bacillati; Chloroflexota. The record is from RNAcentral.
AGAGUUUGAUCCUGGCUCAGGAUGAACGCUGGCGGCGUGCUUAAUACAUGCAAGUCGAACGAGGGCACUCACGUAGCAAUACGAGGGUGUUCCUAGUGGCGAACGGGUGCGUAACACGUAGGCGACCUGCCCCGAAGCGUGGGACAACACUGCGAAAGCGGUGCUAAUACCGCAUGAUCUCCCCGAGGCCAGAGUCUCGGUGAGCAAAGGCGCAAGCCGCUUUGGGAGGGGCCUGCGGCCCAUCAGCUAGUUGGUAGGGUAACGGCCUACCAAGGCAGCGACGGGGUAGGGGGCCUGAGAGGGUGGCCCCCCACACUGGCACUGAAAUACGGGCCAGACACCUACGGGUGGCAGCAGUAGGGAAUAUUGGACAAUGGGCGAAAGCCUGAUCCAGCAACGCCGCGUGCGCGAUGAAGGCCUUCGGGUUGUAAAGCGCUUUUCGGGGGGAUGAGGAAGGACCGUACCCCCGGAAUAAGUCUCGGCUAACUACGUGCCAGCAGCCGCGGUAAAACGUAGGAGGCAAGCGUUAUCCGGAUUUACUGGGCGUAAAGCGCGUGCAGGCGGUCGGGUAAGUCGGACGUGAAAGCUCCUGGCUCAACUGGGAGAGGCCGUUCGAUACUACUUGACUAGAGGGCAGAAGAGGGAGGUGGAAUUCCGGGUGUAGCGGUGAAAUGCGUAGAUAUCCGGAGGAACACCAGUGGCGAAGGCGGCCUCCUGGUCUGCCCCUGACGCUCAGACGCGAAAGCUAGGGGAGCGAACGGGAUUAGAAACCCCGGUAGUCCUAGCUGUAAACGAUGAACACUAGGUGUAGUGGGUAUCGACCCCCACUGUGCCGCAGCUAACGCAAUAAGUGUUCCGCCUGGGGACUACGGCCGCAAGGUUAAAACUCAAAGGAAUUGACGG